UUAAGUGACUAAGCGUACACGGUGGAUGCCUAGGCAGUCAGAGGCGAUGAAGGGCGUGCUAAUCUGCGAAAAGCGUCGGUAAGGUGAUAUGAACCGUUACAACCGGCGAUACCCGAAUGGGGAAACCCAGUGUGUUUCGACACACUAUCAUGUCAUGAAUACAUAGUGGCAUGAGGCGAACCGGGGGAACUGAAACAUCUAAGUACCCCGAGGAAAAGAAAUCAACCGAGAUUCCCCCAGUAGCGGCGAGCGAACGGGGAGGAGCCCAGAACCUGAAUCGGCUUGUGUGUUAGUGGAAGCGUCUGGAAAGUCGCGCAGCAAAGGGUGAUAGCCCCGUACACUAAAAUGCACAGGUCGUGAGUUCGAUGAGUAGGGCGGGACACGUGACAUCCUGUCUGAAUAUGGGGGGACCAUCCUCCAAGGCUAAAUACUCCUGACUGACCGAUAGUGAACCAGUACCGUGAGGGAAAGGCGAAAAGAACCCCGGCGAGGGGAGUGAAAUAGAACCUGAAACCGUGUACGUACAAGCAGUGGGAGCACCUUCGUGGUGUGACUGCGUACCUUUUGUAUAAUGGGUCAGCGACUUAUAUUUUGUAGCAAGGUUAACCGUAUAGGGGAGCCGUAGGGAAACCGAGUCUUAACUGGGCGAAUAGUUGCAAGGUAUAGACCCGAAACCCGGUGAUCUAGCCAUGGGCAGGUUGAAGGUUGGGUAACACUAACUGGAGGACCGAACCGACUAAUGUUGAAAAAUUAGCGGAUGACUUGUGGCUGGGGGUGAAAGGCCAAUCAAACCGGGAGAUAGCUGGUUCUCCCCGAAAGCUAUUUAGGUAGCGCCUCGUGAACUCAUCUUCGGGGGUAGAGCACUGUUUCGGCUAGGGGGCCAUCCCGGCUUACCAAACCGAUGCAAACUCCGAAUACCGAAGAAUGUUAUCACGGGAGACACACGGCGGGUGCUAACGUCCGUCGUGAAGAGGGAAACAACCCAGACCGCCAGCUAAGGUCCCAAAGUCAUGGUUAAGUGGGAAACGAUGUGGGAAGGCAUAGACAGCCAGGAUGUUGGCUUAGAAGCAGCCAUCAUUUAAAGAAAGCGUAAUAGCUCACUGGUCGAGUCGGCCUGCGCGGAAGAUGUAACGGGGCUAAACCAUGCACCGAAGCUGCGGCAGCGACGCUUAGGCGUUGUUGGGUAGGGGAGCGUUCUGUAAGCCGUUGAAGGUGGCCUGUGAGGGUUGCUGGAGGUAUCAGAAGUGCGAAUGCUGACAUAAGUAACGAUAAAGCGGGUGAAAAGCCCGCUCGCCGGAAGACCAAGGGUUCCUGUCCAACGUUAAUCGGGGCAGGGUGAGUCGACCCCUAAGGCGAGGCUGAAAAGCGUAGUCGAUGGGAAACAGGUUAAUAUUCCUGUACUUGGUGUUACUGCGAAGGGGGGACGGAGAAGGCUAGGCUAGCCGGGCGACGGUUGUCCCGGUUUAAGCGUGUAGGGGGUGUGACCUGGUAAAUCCGGUUACAUACUAACCCUGAGGCGUGAUGACGAUGCACUACGGUGCAGAAGUAGUUGAUGCCCUGCUUCCAGGAAAAGCCUCUAAGCAUCAGGUAACAUUAAAUCGUACCCCAAACCGACACAGGUGGUCAGGUAGAGAAUACCAAGGCGCUUGAGAGAACUCGGGUGAAGGAACUAGGCAAAAUGGUGCCGUAACUUCGGGAGAAGGCACGCUGGCAUGUAGGUGAAGUCCCUUGCGGAUGGAGCUGAAGCCAGUCGAAGAUACCAGCUGGCUGCAACUGUUUAAUAAAAACACAGCACUGUGCAAACACGAAAGUGGACGUAUACGGUGUGACGCCUGCCCGGUGCUGGAAGGUUAAUUGAUGGGGUCAGCCGCAAGGCGAAGCUCUUGAUCGAAGCCCCAGUAAACGGCGGCCGUAACUAUAACGGUCCUAAGGUAGCGAAAUUCCUUGUCGGGUAAGUUCCGACCUGCACGAAUGGCGUAAUGAUGGCCAGGCUGUCUCCACCCGAGACUCAGUGAAAUUGAACUCGCUGUGAAGAUGCAGUGUACCCGCGGCAAGACGGAAAGACCCCGUGAACCUUUACUAUAGCUUGACACUGAACAUUGAGCCUUGAUGUGUAGGAUAGGUGGGAGGCUUUGAAGCGUGGACGCCAGUCUGCGUGGAGCCAUCCUUGAAAUACCACCCUUUAAUGUUUGAUGUUCUAACUCGGCCCCGUGAUCCGGGGUGAGGACAGUGUCUGGUGGGUAGUUUGACUGGGGCGGUCUCCUCCCAAAGAGUAACGGAGGAGCACGAAGGUUAGCUAAUCACGGUCGGACAUCGUGAGGUUAGUGCAAAGGCAUAAGCUAGCUUGACUGCGAGAGUGACGGCUCGAGCAGGUACGAAAGUAGGUCUUAGUGAUCCGGUGGUUCUGAAUGGAAGGGCCAUCGCUCAACGGAUAAAAGGUACUCCGGGGAUAACAGGCUGAUACCGCCCAAGAGUUCAUAUCGACGGCGGUGUUUGGCACCUCGAUGUCGGCUCAUCACAUCCUGGGGCUGAAGUAGGUCCCAAGGGUAUGGCUGUUCGCCAUUUAAAGUGGUACGCGAGCUGGGUUUAGAACGUCGUGAGACAGUUCGGUCCCUAUCUGCCGUGGGCGUUGGAAGAUUGAGAGGGGUUGCUCCUAGUACGAGAGGACCGGAGUGAACGCACCACUGGUGUUCGGGUUGUCAUGCCAAUGGCAUUGCCCGGUAGCUAAGUGCGGAAAAGAUAAGCGCUGAAAGCAUCUAAGCGCGAAACUUGCCUCAAGAUGAGUCUUCCCUGGGCCUUUAAGGCCCCUGAAGGAACGUUUAAGACUAAGACGUUGAUAGGCUGGGUGUGUAAGUGCAGCGAUGCAUUGAGCUAACCAGUACUAAUGAUCCGUGAGGCUUAACCUU
RNAcentral lists this ribosomal RNA (2906 nucleotides) under Serratia marcescens. Its description in RNAcentral is "bacterial LSU rRNA". It matches the Rfam family "Bacterial large subunit ribosomal RNA". The record is from RNAcentral. Lineage: Bacteria; Pseudomonadati; Pseudomonadota; Gammaproteobacteria; Enterobacterales; Yersiniaceae.